AGAUCCUGAGACCUCAUGCUCUGAGACGAUCAUCACCAUGUUCGCUGUGAAAGCAAUUUGCCUCCUCUUCACCAUCACUCUGCUUAUUGCAAUGGUUCCUGAGGGCCUUCCGGGUAUGAGAACAUGUUUCCGUGCCGCUGAUGGCUCGGCCCAUUGUACGAGUUAAUAAAGAUGAAGAGACGUCAGGCAUCCACUGAAUACUUCAAUCACUAAAAACACUGUGUAGUCAAUUUAAAUAAAGUAGUCAUGCAUACCUA
Molecule: long non-coding RNA, 257 nt
Organism: Polypterus senegalus (gray bichir)
Lineage: Eukaryota; Metazoa; Chordata; Cladistia; Polypteriformes; Polypteridae
Exons: 4
Source: RefSeq, a predicted model, not a curated record